GCUGGGUAACAGAAUGGUGACGUUUUCAACCGACCUGUUAUCGGACGGUUACUGGUUCGAAUCCAGUCGCAGGAGCA
RNAcentral lists this transfer RNA (77 nucleotides) under Caudoviricetes sp. Its description in RNAcentral is "tRNA-Thr". The record is from RNAcentral. Lineage: Duplodnaviria; Heunggongvirae; Uroviricota; Caudoviricetes.